This 497-nucleotide ribosomal RNA is filed under the name uncultured bacterium. Its description in RNAcentral is "partial 16S ribosomal RNA". It matches the Rfam family "Bacterial small subunit ribosomal RNA", at positions 28 to 507 of the family's 1533-position model. The record is from RNAcentral.
GAUGAACGCUGGCGGCGUGCCUAAUACAUGCAAGUCGAGCGAACGGACGAGAAGCUUGCUUCUCUGAUGUUAGCGGCGGACGGGUGAGUAACACGUGGAUAACCUACCUAUAAGACUUGGAUAACUUCGGGAAACCGUAGCUAAUACCGGAUAAUAUUUUGAACCGCAUGGUUCAAAAGUGAAAGACGGUCUUGCUGUCACUUAUAGAUGGAUCCGCGCUGCAUUAGCUAGUUGGUAAGGUAACGGCUUACCAAGGCAACGAUGCAUAGCCGACCUGAGAGGGUGAUCGGCCACACUGGAACUGAGACACGGUCCAGACUCCUACGGGAGGCUGCAGUAGGGAAUCUUCCGCAAUGGGCGAAAGCCUGACGGAGCAACGCCGCGUGAGUGAUGAAGGUCUUCGGAUCGUAAAACUCUGUUAUUAGGGAAGAACAUAUGUGUAAGUAACUGUGCACAUCUUGACGGUACCUAAUCAGAAAGCCACGGCUAACUACGUG